AAGCUGGCCAAGGCCACCAAGGAGCGGAUCUGGCGCGGGGAGUUCAUUGACCUCUUUUCCUUGCUCCACACAGAGCUGGCCCCCGAGCACGGCCCGCGCCCGGGGGACACGCUGGACCAGUGGGUCUCGGCCUUCCUGGUGUACGCCAGCGUGCUGUGCGAGAAGCACCCGGCGCGCUGCGGAGCCAUGUUCAAGUACCUGGACACCAUCCGCAAGCUGCACGCCACCUACGGGGGCACCUCCUGGAUGAACUACGACGAGGACUUUCGGCGGCGGGCGGCCAAGAACCCCAACCUGCCCUGGGGCGACGUCGACCUGGACCUGUGGAUGAAGUGGAUGGCGCCCCUCAAGUCGCUGGUCACCAGGCACCCGCGGGCUGAGGCCGAGGCCAAGGCCGCCCCGGCCACGCCGCCACCUCCGCCUCCUCCUCCGGCACCAGCGCCGUCCCAGAGCCCCAAGGAGCAGGAGAAAAGCCAGACUCCAUGAGAACAGAAGGCCAGUUGGGAUGGCAGUCAGACUAAGUGGCCUGACUCCGUUGGUGUUUAAGUGGAGCUCUGGUAUUCUAGUGCAUUCUUUUACCUCUGCUUCUGUUGCGUUGCAAGCUGUGCUAGAGAAGACGUAGGAAAUUCAUUUUACCCAAUCAGCAAUUGUAACAAUGGACUACAAACCUGCAGAGCAAGCCAGUUUGCUGGAAAACAGGAAUUCCUGCAGCGCAGCACUUGCCACAGACUAUCCAAAGAGGGCAAAGAUUCAGGAAGGUGAAUAAAUUGAACAUUGGUUGAAUGAGGUCAGGAACAGUCUCCCGGAGGAGAACCCUGCCCUAAAAUACUACUUUGAAAGUAUAAGCCAAUUUAAUGCGCUGAUUAACCCUUCUCAUUUGAGCAAACUUGUGUGCAAUCCUGGAUCUUUGCAGAACACAACCGGACACUUAAAA
Chaetura pelagica (chimney swift) is the source of this 934-nucleotide long non-coding RNA. RefSeq lists it as uncharacterized. Lineage: Eukaryota; Metazoa; Chordata; Aves; Apodiformes; Apodidae. The transcript has 3 exons. The record is from RefSeq and is a predicted model, not a curated record.